RNAcentral lists this ribosomal RNA (408 nucleotides) under uncultured bacterium. Its description in RNAcentral is "partial 16S ribosomal RNA". It matches the Rfam family "Bacterial small subunit ribosomal RNA", at positions 28 to 526 of the family's 1533-position model. The record is from RNAcentral.
GACGAACGCUGGCGGCGUGCCUAAUACAUGCAAGUCGAGCGAAGCGGCGGAUGGGUUAGUAACGCGUGGGUAACCUGCCCUUAAGUCUGGGAUACCAUUUGGAAACAUAUGCUAAUACCGGAUACUAACGGAUGGACCUGCGCUGCAUUAGCUCGUUGGUAAGGUAACGGCUUACCAAGGCGAUGAUGCAUAGCCGGGUUGAGAGACUGAUCGGCCACAUUGGGACUGAGACACGGCCCAAACUCCUACGGGAGGCAGCAGUAGGGAAUAUUCCACAAUGGGCGAAAGUCUGAUGGAGCAAUGCCGCGUGUGUGAAGAAGGUUUUCGGAUCGUAAAGCACUGUUGUUGGUGAAGCGGUAAUAAAACAGAAAGUAACGGCUAACUACGUGCCAGCAGCCGCGGUAAUAC